UCACUCUGGUUUCCCUUCAACACACGUAUAAAUCUUUCGCCUUUUACUAAAGAUUUCCGUGGAGGGGAACGACUUGAUGAGUCUAUAAACCAAUUUUUCACCUGCCCCGGUGCAAACUGGGGCG
This 124-nucleotide small nuclear RNA is filed under the name Athalia rosae (coleseed sawfly). Its description in RNAcentral is "misc RNA ENSAEAG00005005177.1". It matches the Rfam family "U5 spliceosomal RNA". Rfam says of the family: U5 RNA is a component of both types of known spliceosome. The precise function of this molecule is unknown, though it is known that the 5' loop is required for splice site selection and p220 binding, and that both the 3' stem-loop and the Sm site are important for Sm protein binding and cap methylation. The record is from RNAcentral. Lineage: Eukaryota; Metazoa; Arthropoda; Insecta; Hymenoptera; Athaliidae.